Molecule: ribosomal RNA, 480 nt
Filed under: uncultured bacterium
Lineage: Bacteria
Description: partial 16S ribosomal RNA
Rfam family: Bacterial small subunit ribosomal RNA
Source: RNAcentral
UGACCGCUAGCGGCAGGCCUACUACAUGCACGUCGGACGGGAUUCAGGAGCUUGCUUCUGAUGAGAGUGGCGCACGGGUGCGUAACACGUAUGUAACCUACCUUUAUCAGGGGGAUAGCCUCUCGAAAGAGAGAUUAAGCCCGCAUAAAAUCACAGCACAGCAUUGUGUAAUGAUCAAAUAUUUAUAGGAUAAAGAUGGGCAUGCGGAACAUUAGCUAGAUGGCGGGGUAACGGCCCACCAUGGCGACGAUGUUUAGGGGAUCUGAGAGGAUGGCCCCCCACACUGGUACUGAGACACGGACCAGACUCCUACGGGAGGCAGCAGUAAGGAAUAUUGGUCAAUGGGCGGAAGCCUGAACCAGCCAUGCCGCGUGCAGGAAGACGGCCCUACGGGUUGUAAACUGCUUUUAUACGGGAAUAAACCCAGAUACGUGUAUCUGGCUGAAUGUACUGUAAGAAUAAGGAUCGGCUAACCCCGUG